UUCCCUACGGGGGGCAGCAGUGGGGAAUAUUGCACAAUGGGGGAAACCCUGAUGCAGCGACGCCGCGUGGGCGACGAAGCGCUCCGGCGCGUAAAGCCCUGUCAGCAGGGAAGAACAAAGACAGUACCUGACCAAGAAGCCCCGGCUAACUACGUGCCAGCAGCCGCGGUAAUACGUAGGGGGCAAGCGUUAUCCGGAUUUACUGGGUGUAAAGGGAGCGUAGACGGAGGAGCAAGUCUGAUGUGAAAAUCCGGGGCCCAACCCCGGAACUGCAUUGGAAACUGUUUAUCUAGAGUGUCGGAGAG
Molecule: ribosomal RNA, 305 nt
Filed under: uncultured bacterium
Lineage: Bacteria
Description: bacterial SSU rRNA
Rfam family: Bacterial small subunit ribosomal RNA
Source: RNAcentral